CGUUUGAAUGGUUUAACACUAGUAAUUUUGGGGCCCUUUAUAGCUUGUUGUUCGGUAUGAGCCAAGGCUCCGUGUUGAAGGCUGUACAUUGACCUAUAAUGGUUUACUUUUAUAAAUUGUUAUUUGGAUGGAGAGUUGUCUCAUUGGCACUCAUACCACAUCUUCCUAUAUCUAAAUUCAAAAUCAAAUUUUAAAACUUAUGACAUUGCAAAUCUCAGACAUAUAUUAUGUAAGACUAAAUCACGUAUAUCAUAAGUUCAUUGUUUUCUAUUGUUUUAUGUUUAUGUACAUUGUAUCAUAAUUAUACACUUAUGUUUGUGUACAUUGUAUCAUAAUUAUACACUUAUGUUUGUGUUUAUGGUAUCCUUCAAGUUAACGCUAUGAAACCUCUUUUAAGAAAGAAAAAACUUACGGGUUUGAUGUGUUACAAAAAUUUCAUUUACAAGUGUCAUUAAUAUUUACAUUUAUU
RNAcentral lists this long non-coding RNA (469 nucleotides) under Mytilus galloprovincialis (Mediterranean mussel). The record is from RNAcentral. Lineage: Eukaryota; Metazoa; Mollusca; Bivalvia; Mytilida; Mytilidae.